UGCAGUCGAGCGGCAGCAACAACAUUGACUCUUCGGAGGAUUUGUUGGGCGGCGAGCGGCGGACGGGUGAGUAAUGGCUGGGAACCUGCCCUGACGUGGGGGAUAACAGUUGGAAACGACUGCUAAUACCGCAUGAUGUCUACGGACCAAAGAGGAGGACCUUCGGGCUUCUCGCGUCGGGAUGGGCCCAGUUGGGAUUAGCUAGUUGGUGAGGUAAUGGCUCACCAAGGCGACGAUCCCUAGCUGGUUUGAGAGGAUGAUCAGCCACACUGGAACUGAGACACGGUCCAGACUCCUACGGGAGGCAGCAGUGGGGAGUAUUGCACAAUGGGCGCAAGCCUGAUGCAGCCAUGCCGCGUGUGUGAAGAAGGCCUUCGGGUUGUAAAGCACUUUCAGCAGUGAGGAAGGCGUAGUGGUUAAUACCCGCUGCGCUUGACGUUAGCUGCAGAAGAAGCACCGGCUAACUCCGUGCCAGCAGCCGCGGUAAUACGGAGGGUGCGAGCGUUAAUCGGAAUUACUGGGCGUAAAGCGCAUGCAGGCGGUUUGUUAAGCAAGAUGUGAAAGCCCCGGGCUCAACCUGGGAACCGCAUUUUGAACUGGCAGGCUAGAGUCUUGUAGAGGGGGGUAGAAUUUCA
Molecule: ribosomal RNA, 635 nt
Filed under: uncultured Vibrio sp.
Lineage: Bacteria; Pseudomonadati; Pseudomonadota; Gammaproteobacteria; Vibrionales; Vibrionaceae
Description: bacterial SSU rRNA
Rfam family: Bacterial small subunit ribosomal RNA
Source: RNAcentral